UGAACAUGGGAGGGGCAGAGAGAGGGGGAGACACAGUAUCUGAAGCAGGCUUCAGGUUCUGAGCUGGCAGCACAGAGCCCGACGCGUCGCGGGGCUCGAACUCACAAGCAGUGAGAUCAUGACCUGAGCCGAAGUUGGAUGCUUAACCGACUGAGCCACCCAGGCGCCCCUAUUGUUCUUUAUUUUUAAAGUUUAUUGAUUUAUUUUGAGAGAUUGAGAGUGAGAGAGCGAGAGAGUGAGAGAGAGAAUCCCAAGCAGGCUUUGCCCAGUGAGGACGUGGGCUUGAACUCAAGAGCCAAGAGCUGGACCCUUAACCAACUGAGCCACCCAGGCACCCCAAGCAUCAAUUGUUCUUAUGGAAUCACACAACAAAUGUCAAGUGGUUGUAAUGGGACUUGGGAGCAACUGGGCUUUUGGUUUCUCUUUUUAUGAACUUGAGUGGCAAGAGUUGCCCAUAAAUAAGUGGGGUGAAAGGUGUGUCCCAGACAACUAAACCUGACCUGUUUGGGAUAUAGUUGCUCGCUUGAUGACUCUGUGAGUAUACAGGGACUCUGUGUCUGUCUUACUAUUAUAUCCCCAUGUCUAAUACAGGGCUUGGUGUGUCAUAAGUAUUCAAAUAAUAGUUUUUGAAUGGAAUACUGAAUGUCGAAUGAAUUGGGUGAACAAUAAUAGCUAGUUUUGUAGGCACAGGUAACGGAUUUCCAGGUCCACACCAUUUCCUUCUUUUCUUUUUAAUUAAUGUUAGCCUGAAGUCAUGAUCACAGAGAACAUUUUACCCUGGUGACCAGUACUGUAACUGUGGGCUAUGUGUUUUAAUUCAAUUUUAAGUUUCAAACUGAUUUUUCUUAAAUUCUGAGCCCGUUAUUAAUUUGUUCACCUCCUGUAAGUCUAAAAAGAAUGGCUCUGGGGCUUUAUUAUACAGCGUAUUUUUUCACUAUAGUUCAUUGCACCAGGCAAUGAACUAGAAAUACAAAAGACUAUGAAUUAUAAUUUUCAUACUCUCGCUAACUCACUGUGUGACCUUGGGCUAGUCACUUAACUUUAGUUGACUGCGUGGGUCCUCAUCUUUGAAACCUCCAGAGCUCAAUCUUGAUGAAGCGGGGCUAAGGACUUGGAAAGAACCUAAUUUCUUACCUCACCCAGGCUGUGCUCUGAAAAUGACAUUUUAAGAUGCGUCCCAUUCCUUUUGCUUCCAACAAAUCAUUCCUCCCCUAUCUAAGCCCCCCUCUGCCUCAUUAAGGAUGAAGGCCCGGUGAGCAAGUUCUUACUCUCUUCUAGCACAUUAGCAGAGGCCACUCAAUGUUAAUUACCAUCACAUGGGAUUACUGGUCUCCUCACCCUGAUUUUUCUGAGUUGCCUGCCUCAUUGACUGCCUCAGCUAAAAGACCAAAGGUUGAAUAGUUCCUUAGAGAUAAAAUACAAUUUGGGGCUAGUGUAGAGGGAGGAAUCUGGGAAGAGAAAAAUUAACACUCUGUUUUCAAGGUGGUCAAUGUAUUUAAACCUUUCCAACUUAAAAAUCAGAGUUAAAUUAUACACGUUGUUUAUAGAUACCUAUCCAUAUACUUCAACUGUAAAAUUAUGAUGAAGUAAGGGAAAAGAUAAUUUAAUAUCUAAUCUGGUUGUGAUUCUCCUGAGCAUAGCUUGUAAUAAACUUCCUUAUGUUUGCUAAUUGGAUGGAUAUUUCCUCCACAAAUGAAUUGAAAGUGUGUUGGGUGGGUUAGCAGGACAUAAUAAAAACAUAAAACAAAAGCAGUGAACUUCUCGGUCAAACUAACCUCCUUCAAGAGAGCACAAAUCAUAAAGCAAAUGUAGUCAUUCCUUUUAGAGUUUGGAUUUCUCUAGUCCUCCUUUGGAACUAUUUUGCUAAUAGGGAAUUGGCUGAGACGUCAACUUCUCUCUGAUUUAUCAGGGCAUGGAAGUAUUAGGCAUUACAAGAGAGUCAAAUUUGAAUAGAUUUUUCCUGGUUUUAAAUUUGGAUACUCUUCCAGAAUCUGCUCUUCGCAUAUGUGUGAUCAUCCUUUCCUGUCUCAUAAGAGAUUGAACUUGGAGGCCAGAGCCUUUCUAGGGGACGGUUACAGAAGGGGAAUGGACAAUCCUCACCCUACCACCUGCCUCACUGGGAUUACAAUCCGCCCUCUUACAGGCACCUGUAAGAUAAAGAGGGGCCAAACUUGUGAGAACAAUCACCAUUUCCUGUUCUGCAGAUAGAAUUAUUGGGUGAAAGGUGCUAAAAGUAAGUCUACACAAUAAAUACAUGGUGCAUAGUCAGCCAUACUUGAAGGUGAAGUCAAGUAAAUGCCACACAACCAGGAUAUGGUAAGUGGAUGGAUAGCCGUGAUUUGAGGAAAGUUAAUUAUCCUCUCAGAGGCUCAGUUUCCCCCUAUAGAAGGCAGAGGUAGUAUUGAUUCUAUUUCAGUGCUUGAAAGAAUCUAAAAAGUUGUUCAAAGUCAUUAUGUGCUAAUAAUAAUUCCUAAGUCUUAGCAGCGAAAGUGUACUCACGUGAACACACAUGGAAAUGUGGUUGUUGGCUUGAUUGGACACGAGACACUGGAUAAGGGCAGUAGCCAACCUGGAGGGGAUUAAGGGAAAUGUUAUCAAAUUGGAAUUCUAAUAAACCCUUUAGGCUAGCUGCCUACCAUGUUGUCAAGAACAGAGGGGUGUGGAGGGGGGCAGGAUUCAUGUAGCCUUGAUGGCUACAUGAUUGCCAGUAGACCCAGAUCUUUGUGUAUGUGCGUCUUGUCACAACCCAUUCUGUUGGGUGUGUUCAUCCGGUGCCAGCUUCCCUUUACAAAUCCCCAGCCCUGUGUGGUGAAAGAUAGCUUAGUCAGUUCCAUAGCCACCUGAGCCCAGGCUAUAAAACAGCCAUAGGAAAAGCCUUUUCUGUCACUAUAGGGGCUGAGAGAGCAAAUUGAAUCGCGGGUGCCAUGGCAGCAAAAGCCAGGAAUUGAGGCGACCUGUUUAAUCUUGGCUCUUUGAUAACAGAUAUAGGAGAUAACAUUCAGAGUCUCCUUCCCCCAAGAUAAGAGCGAGUGGCAGGACACUUCUCGGGGAAAGUAGGAUUUCACAGUCCACCUCAGGGUGACUAUAAAAGGGAAUAUGUUCAUGCCCAAGGCCCCUGCUCAGGAUAGAAUAGAUAGCCUCUCUGCGGGGGGUGGGGGUGGCGUCGAGGAAGAAAAGCCCUUCCCAUUCUCUUCCUCACAGAAAGCUUUGUGUUUUUCCCUCCCACCACCCGGUCUGCUCUGGCUGCCAGCCUGCCGCCAGUGUUCUGCCUUCGCCUUCCAUUUAACCUUCACUGGGGCUGGAGAGAUAGACAGGAAGCAGUCAUGCACCCCGCUGCCCCUGCCAUUCCUCCUUUUGUAGCCUGAUGAAAGCGCUAUGUCCAAGAAUAAUGUAGUUAGAGGUCUUUCACGCAGAGCUGGUUUCUGAAUUGCUGUUCUAGCUUGUGAUUGGGAACUUGGUAUAUUACUCUGAUGCCUGUGCCCGAGCCAGUCACAAAAUGAUAAAGACUUGGGAUAGUUUUGUAGUUAGGAAUAUAGGGCUCUGUAGCCGUAUGGCCUGGUUACAAAUCCCACCUCUGUCAUUAUUGGCUGUGUGACCUUAGACAAGUUAACUGACUUGUCUGUUUUAGUUUUUUUUUUUUUUUUUUUUUUUUUUUCCCGCCUUAGGAUCUGCCUUACAGAGUUGUGAGGAUUGAAUGAAUUAAUUCACACAAAGGUUUAGAAGAGAGUACCUGACUUAUAGCACUUGCUGCAGGGACAAAUCCGAAGUGUCCAUGAUGGAGACAGGGAACACUUACACUCUACUUUGCUGGAGCUGGGGGAGUAUGCCACCACGGGCUCGCUAGAACAUUUUGGGUAAUUAGUAAGCGUUAACAGCAUUGGCAUUAUCCCUUUAGUUACAUUAGAUGUCAGGGAGUUAAUUCUUGACCAUUUAGAUUGCAGGCCUCUGAAAUUAAAAUGCAUCUAAACUCUAUGGUGGCCCUGAUCUCAAAGAGAUUCAGCCAGAAAAUCUGCCCAGAUAUCCAUCUGUCGAUUACCUACCUACCAACUUACAUCACUAUCUUCCUCUUUCUCCCUCUUUCUCUCUCACUCUUCUUUGCCCACAGAAAAGGAAAGGAAACAUGGGCAUUUCUUAGGUUCAUGAGUCAUGAACCAUUUGGUUGAGGGGCAGAUUUAUUUUCAGGGGCAAUCUAUUUAUUGCCUGAGGUGGUUUGAUUGUAGACUCUAGCAUUUGUGUCUCAAUGGUGAGAAAUUCCUCUUCUCUUAAGCAAACACCUUUUAAGCUGCAGUCCCUGACCAGGGCCCAUUCUCUUGGCUCUUUCUCUCCUGGUAGUGCCUCUAAUUCAGUUUUUAAGCUGCUUUGCUCUUGCAUGCUGGAAGGCAGAUGAUCUCAGCCUGGCACACACAGAAGCCUCUCUCCUCCCCUGGCCCAGCUCUUCCUUCCUCCAGGCGGGGCCAGGCCACAGAUGUGUGCUAAUGAGAGCUUCUCUUUG
Molecule: long non-coding RNA, 4492 nt
Organism: Neofelis nebulosa (Clouded leopard)
Lineage: Eukaryota; Metazoa; Chordata; Mammalia; Carnivora; Felidae
Exons: 3
Source: RefSeq, a predicted model, not a curated record